CAGUGGAUGUGUUUUUAUUAUUUCCAGGAUACUGUAAUGAACCCAAAGUUGCCUGGGUUGUCACCAUAGCAUUUGAACCAGAUCGAGCUUGUCUGGAGUUCCAUUAGGCAAUGGGGAAUAUGUGAUCACUCAGUGGUUGGCAGGUGGGAGCAUGUGGUUACUGGCAUCCCAGCUUUAACUUCUGCCAGCAAGCAGCAUCACUGACAGGACAACAGGCCAUCAGUAACCUGAUGUCAGAUGGAAUCUCUCUUUGAGAGGGAAGGAAGAGGUCCUCAGGGACUUUAACCUUCCUCAUCUGUGUACCAGACACUGCUCUUAGUCCUAGAGAGACAGCAAGGAUGGACCAUAAGCAAACAAACUAGGAAAUACUUCCAGGUAGAGAUGAGUGUUGUGAAGAAAAAUAAAGCACGGUAGGGGAUGGUGCAUAGAGGGCAGGGAGUAGGGGCCAUUUUGAUGAAUCUGAUGUGUAUGAGUUCUGAAGGAACAGGGCCUAUUUUUCCAUCACAUUAGCAGUAGGAAAAUAGUGAAUGAAGGAAAGAAAAUGACCAUACGGAGUGGUCUAACUAUUGAAUUAGUGACCACUGUCCUCCAGUGGGCUUUCAGUGCUGCUUUCCUAACUUCAUCCUCUCACCUGCUCUCUAAGACAACUAUUUCAUCCAUUUUCCUUUCACUGUAAACUUCCAAAGCUUCUCCUUCUCCGUUCUUGGCUGAUGACCUUGCUUUGGGAUUUUUCUGGAAAACAAUCCAAAGAGAACUUGCCGGGCUGCCAUAUUCAUCCACUCCCUAGCCCUGGGAUCUGUGUUCUACCUUCCCCCAGCUAGUGGAGGGGAACUGCCCAUGCUCCUUCCAGAGACCAUAUUCCUUGUUUGUUGCAUCCCAUCUUUUCUGGUCCCUCGUGGGUAUCGCUUGU
Molecule: long non-coding RNA, 910 nt
Filed under: Marmota monax (woodchuck)
Lineage: Eukaryota; Metazoa; Chordata; Mammalia; Rodentia; Sciuridae
Source: RNAcentral